AAAUCAGAGCAAACGGGUGCAGCGCCUCAAAAUUCCAAAUAACACCAUGCCACAGAUAACAUUAAGGACUGUUAGAAGACUUUUACAGGAGAAAGGGAAGACAGAGCCUUUGUGCAAAGGCUACACAGCCCACUAACUUGGAAGAGCAACCUCUCAUCUCCUUGCAUAGGACACUCAGUAAGAAAGAGGCUACCCAGCACAGCUCUGUUGAAAGGAUCGCUGGUCUCAGGGCUGUGUUGAGCUGGUGCUAAGAGGCAGCAGCUGUGCAUCCUACACUUGGCUCUCAGAAUUUUUUUUCCUGGGCUCUUUGCUCCCUCCAGCCCCAAGAUCUACCAGCUGUGUUGUGCUGGCUUUGCUCUGUGUUGGCGAGGAGUGUGGCGCUCCCCUAGGGAUGGGGGUAACUCUUUGGUCAAUUGAACUUAUCAAUUAACCAGGGGGUGUCCUGUUGCAUGCUUAGAUCUUAUACCUGGAAAGCUUGAAAUUAAGUGGGACUUCUACUGUAAGAAAUCAAAGCUAGUCCUCAGGUCUUAAAGCAUGGUAAAUGUCUCAAGUGUUGCAACCAGAGCUGUGCAUAAACCUUGGAGGAAAAGUGCUGCCUACUGAAUAUAGCCCAGUGCCAGUGAGAGGUUGCUUCCUGCUUUCUCAUCCUAUAACACUUUUAUUUUUUUUUAACUAGAUAGUCCAAUUUGAGGUUAAUUUAACACUGCAGGAAGCAUCCCUUUUGAUUUCAGGCUGUUUUAUUAGUCAGUGAUCUAGGACAUGGGACAAGUGUGUUCCUCAGACAGCAAUACUGAAUAGCUAGCCAACAGUCCGAAGUGUGACUGUUUAGGGAUGAAAGACUGGCACCAGCUGCAUUGAAUGAAUGAGCACUAGAUAUAUCAGCCAUUUCUUCUUUCCUCUCCUCUGAUCUGAGGAUGUGCAGCAAGAUUUUGUCCAAGGGUACGCCAAGCCCUAGUGAUUUGCAGAGAGAGCAGUGGCUUUGCUAUGAGGGAUGUUUCUGGACAAAACCCGUUGCAAGUAAAAUCACCACAUCUCCUGCCCUAUCAAGUGGAUGAUGGAUGUUGGCAGCACUAAAAACUUGCAUGCGGUGAGAAGUGGAACACUUUUAUUUUGGUAUCCUGGUUGUUACGCAUGACGCAUGAUUAAAAGGAAGUGGUUUUACAGUGUGUGUGUUCUCAGCCUUGUUCACAUCUUGACCCUCCACUGAGUCUUGCCCAGAGAUGCCCCCAGAACCUCUGAGUGGUUCCCAUGGUGCUUCAUCAGGGGCCCCACCUUCUGUGGUAGUUUGUAAACGGGGCUGUGGGAAUUGAUGUGCUGGUUUACGGAGAUACUGCGCCGCCUGAGGUAGCCGGAUUUCAAAGUGGCUGAGUGAGCAUGCUUUGGUCAAAGACCAGUGACUGAACAUGAGAGCAGACUUUGCUUCUCCCUGGCCACCCUGGGGGAGGCAGCCAAGCCAGCCUGAGAACCACGAAUGAAGAGUUUGUUAAUGAAAAGGCAAAGACAGGGAGCCAG
Molecule: long non-coding RNA, 1512 nt
Organism: Oxyura jamaicensis (ruddy duck)
Lineage: Eukaryota; Metazoa; Chordata; Aves; Anseriformes; Anatidae
Exons: 2
Source: RefSeq, a predicted model, not a curated record